AUUUUCAAUUCAAAUUAUUUGCUUUAUUAUAAAGCCUAAUAGGCAAAACAGUGUUUAGAUCAAAUUCUUCAUUCUAUCCAUUAUUAUUAUCCUUCUAUAUUCUCAUUUCAACAUGGCUAUGAGAUGUAAUUCUAUAAAGGACAUAACUCUACUCAAGGAGAAUUAGAGGAUCAAAGCAAGAGUGGUUCGAAUGUAGAGAAUGCCCAGAUUUAA
RNAcentral lists this long non-coding RNA (213 nucleotides) under Elaeis guineensis (African oil palm). Its description in RNAcentral is "long non-coding RNA (EGUI_LNC000505)". Lineage: Eukaryota; Viridiplantae; Streptophyta; Magnoliopsida; Arecales; Arecaceae. The record is from RNAcentral.